GCCAGACUCCUACGGGAGGCAGCAGUGGGGAAUAUUGCACAAUGGGCGAAAGCCUGAUGCAGCAACGCCGCGUGAAGGAAGACGGUUUUCGGAUUGUAAACUUCUGUUCUUAGUGAAGAAUAAUGACGGUAACUAAGGAGCAAGCCACGGCUAACUACGUGCCAGCAGCCGCGGUAAUACGUAGGUGGCAAGCGUUGUCCGGAAUUACUGGGUGUAAAGGGCGUGUAGGCGGGAUGGUAAGUCAGAUGUGAAAUCUAUGGGCUCAACCCAUAGCCUGCAUUUGAAACUAUCGUUCUUGAGUGUUGGAGAGGCAGGCGGAAUUCCGUGUGUAGCGGUGAAAUGCGUAGAUAUACGGAGGAACACCAGUGGCGAAGGCGGCCUGCUGGACAAUAACUGACGCUGAGGCGCGAAAGCGUGGGGAGCAAACAGGAUUAGAUACCCCAGUA
Molecule: ribosomal RNA, 446 nt
Filed under: uncultured bacterium
Lineage: Bacteria
Description: bacterial SSU rRNA
Rfam family: Bacterial small subunit ribosomal RNA
Source: RNAcentral